This 253-nucleotide ribosomal RNA is filed under the name uncultured bacterium. Its description in RNAcentral is "partial 16S ribosomal RNA". It matches the Rfam family "Bacterial small subunit ribosomal RNA", at positions 524 to 776 of the family's 1533-position model. The record is from RNAcentral.
UACGAAGGGGGCUAGCGUUGCUCGGAAUUACUGGGCGUAAAGGGCGCGUAGGCGGACAGUUUAGUCAGAGGUGAAAGCCCAGGGCUCAACCUUGGAAUAGCCUUUGAUACUGGCUGUCUUGAGUUCGGGAGAGGUGAGUGGAAUGCCGAGUGUAGAGGUGAAAUGCGUAGAGAUCCGGAGGAACACCAAAGGCGAAGGCAGUGUCCUGGGGAGUACCUGACGCUCAGGUGCGAAAGCCAGGGGAGCGAACGGG